GUGCGAGACCGAUAGCGAACAAGUACCGUGAGGGAAAGAUGAAAAGAACUUUGAAAAGAGAGUUAAAGAGUACCUGAAACUGCUGAAAGGGAACCGAAUCGUAUCCAGUGUCUAUAAUCCAUGGCAUAUUUCAUUGGCGAGUGAGUGCGUGCAGCGUUUUGGAAGUGGUUUUCCGCUCCUGUCGUUGUUGUGCAUUUGCUUGCUGGUGCCCUGUGCUGUGGUGGGACGUCAGAGUCAGUUUGUAUGUUGCGGGAAAUGGUUAUUGGGGAGGUAGGUCACUUCGGUGGCUGUUAUAUCCUGGUAACUAGUCGUCGUGGCUGAGACUGAGGUGCCUACAAUGUGCUUUCGAGUGUGCGGGAUUCUCGUGUGGCUGUUUGCUUUGAUAGCUUGCUAUGUUGGUGAAUAAGUCGUGCGAUUGAGACUUGUAUUAACUUGUUGCUGUUCGGGACUUUGA
This 454-nucleotide ribosomal RNA is filed under the name uncultured Oomycota. Its description in RNAcentral is "LSU rRNA". It matches the Rfam family "Eukaryotic large subunit ribosomal RNA", at positions 326 to 629 of the family's 3401-position model. Lineage: Eukaryota; Oomycota. The record is from RNAcentral.